Molecule: ribosomal RNA, 253 nt
Filed under: uncultured bacterium
Lineage: Bacteria
Description: partial 16S ribosomal RNA
Rfam family: Bacterial small subunit ribosomal RNA
Source: RNAcentral
UACGUAGGGUGCAAGCGUUAAUCGGAAUUACUGGGCGUAAAGCGUGCGCAGGCGGUUAUGCAAGUCAGUUGUGAAAUCCCCGGGCUCAACCUGGGAACUGCAUUUGUGACUGCAUGGCUAGAGUACGGUAGAGGGGGAUGGAAUUCCGCGUGUAGCAGUGAAAUGCGUAGAUAUGCGGAGGAACACCGAUGGCGAAGGCAAUCCCCUGGACCUGUACUGACGCUCAUGCACGAAAGCGUGGGGAGCAAACAGG